Molecule: ribosomal RNA, 440 nt
Filed under: uncultured bacterium
Lineage: Bacteria
Description: partial 16S ribosomal RNA
Rfam family: Bacterial small subunit ribosomal RNA
Source: RNAcentral
CCUACGGGUGGCAGCAGUGGGGGAUAUUGCACAAUGAGGGAAACCCUGAUGCAGCGACGCCGCGUGUGGGAAGACGGUCCUCUGGAUUGUAAACCACUGUUCCCAGGGACGAAGAUGACGGUACCUGGGGAGGAAGCUCCGGCUAACUACGUGGCAGCAGCCACGUUAAUACGUAGGGAGCAAGCGUUGUCCGGAAUUACUGGGUGUAAAGGGAGCGUAGGCGGGAAGGCAAGUUGUUUGUUAAAUCUACGGGCUCAACUGGUAGUCGCAGUCCAAACUGCUAUUCUUGAGUGAAGUAGAGGCAGGCGGAAUUCCUAGUGUAGCGGUGAAAUGCGUAGAUAUUAGGAGGAACACCAGUGGCGAAGGCGGCCUGCUGGGCUUUUACUGACGCUGAGGCUCGAAAGUGUGGGGAGCAAACAGGAUUAGAUACCCGGGUAGUC